This 305-nucleotide ribosomal RNA is filed under the name uncultured bacterium. RNAcentral describes it as "bacterial SSU rRNA". It matches the Rfam family "Bacterial small subunit ribosomal RNA", at positions 331 to 655 of the family's 1533-position model. The record is from RNAcentral.
UGGGACCUACGGGGGGCAGCAGUGGGGAAUAUUGCACAAUGGGGGAAACCCUGAUGCAGCGACGCCGCGUGAAGGAAGAAGUGUUUCGGUAUGUAAACUUCUCUCAGCAGGGAAGAAAAUGACGGUACCUGACUAAGAAGCCCCGGCUAACUACGUGCCAGCAGCCGCGGUAAUACGUAGGGGGCAAGCGUUAUCCGGAUUUACUGGGUGUAAAGGGAGCGUAGGCGGUUCAGCAAGUCAGAAGUGAAAGCCCGGGGCUCAACUCCGGGACUGCUUUUGAAACUGUUGAACUUGAUUGCAGGAGG